Long non-coding RNA from Sinocyclocheilus grahami, 90 nucleotides. RefSeq lists it as uncharacterized. NCBI's taxonomy places the organism in Eukaryota, Metazoa, Chordata, Actinopteri, Cypriniformes, Cyprinidae. The transcript has 3 exons. The record is from RefSeq and is a predicted model, not a curated record.
AUGACACAUUCAGAUCAGGAGAUAAAGCAGCCCUCAAAACAGCAAGAGCCAAUCUGUCCUGUGGCAUCAAGAAUGCAAAACACUUUUGAC